AUUGAACGCUGGCGGCAUGCUUUACACAUGCAAGUCGAACGGCAGCACGGACUUCGGUCUGGUGGCGAGUGGCGAACGGGUGAGUAAUACAUCGGAACGUGCCCAGUUGUGGGGGAUAACUACUCGAAAGAGUAGCUAAUACCGCAUGAGAACUGAGGUUGAAAGCAGGGGAUCGUAAGACCUUGCGCAACUGGAGCGGCCGAUGGCAGAUUAGGUAGUUGGUGGGAUAAAAGCUUACCAAGCCGACGAUCUGUAGCUGGUCUGAGAGGACGACCAGCCACACUGGGACUGCGACACGGCCCAGACUCCUACGGGAGGCAGCAGUGGGGAAUUUUGGACAAUGGGCGAAAGCCUGAUUCAGCAAUGCCGCGUGCAGGAUGAAGGCCUUCGGGUUGUAAACUGCUUUUGUACGGAACGAAAAGCUUCGGGUUAAUACCCUGGAGUCAUGACGGUACCGUAAGAAUAAGCACCGGCUAACUACGUGCCAGCCGCCGCCGUAA
This 500-nucleotide ribosomal RNA is filed under the name uncultured bacterium. RNAcentral describes it as "partial 16S ribosomal RNA". It matches the Rfam family "Bacterial small subunit ribosomal RNA", at positions 30 to 523 of the family's 1533-position model. The record is from RNAcentral.